Long non-coding RNA from Astatotilapia calliptera (eastern happy), 2197 nucleotides. The record is from Ensembl. Lineage: Eukaryota; Metazoa; Chordata; Actinopteri; Cichliformes; Cichlidae.
UGCUGAAAAUGGUCCUCAGACAUUUUAGCCUAUAUUGACGUGACAGCAUCACAAAGCUGCUGUAAAUGUGUUGGCUGAACACCCAUAAUGUGAAUCUUCCCUUCCAUCACAUCCCAUAAGUGCUCGACUGGAUUGAAAUCUAGUAAAUGUGGAGGCCAUUUGAAUACAGUGAACUCAUGAUCUGAGCUUUGUGAUGUGGUGUGUUCUUAGCCGUCCUUUGUGACAGGAAAGGAACAUCAGAGAAACCAAAGGUUGUCACAUACAAAUUUACAUUCUGGAAACAGCUUUCUUCUCUCUCCGGGAAUUCGGGGAGCAGCUGGUGAGCUGAAAUUGUUUUUUUGCUGAAACUCAGGAGGCUGACUGCUGAGAGCCUAAAUCCAGAGCUGAGGAAAUCAGCGGCAUGUGCGCUAUCAUUAACGCCGUCGCUGCACAACAACCCGGUGAGGCGCAAAGGGAAUUUUACACUGCUUGGCUGGUGGUAGUUGUGCCUGCAUGAUUUUUUUUUCUUUUUCUUUGCAGGAGUGAGAUGAGGCUGUAUACGAUUUCAGGGUAGAGAGGAACGGCAACAAGAGGCCCUGCGUGGCUGAGAUUCCCGAGAUUCCCUGCAGCAGAUAUAGUCUGACAGAGGCCGCCGAUAGUAGACAUGCUUCACUGGGGCGCACAGGAACAUUCAACCAUGUAGGCUCCUAAGAGUUCCAACAACUGAAUCACUGUCUAUCAUGUUGAAUUGCCUUUUUCAAGUAUCCCCAAGUGUUAUUUACUUUUAUUUGUAAAAUGGUAAGGGUUAAAAUACCAGGGCUGUUUGCAUUUUAUGGAGUGUGUGGAUUUUUAGCCCUCUUUCUAAGCUGUUAUCAUACUAAAAGCCAUGAGUCAAAUAGGUCUUCAGUCAGAUAUUUGACUAACACAUGUUUUUCAAACAUUUGUCUCUUCUUGCUGUUGUCUUGGAGGUGGAUUAAUGAAGCUGGGAUACUCCCAGGUUUCACAAUGCCUGGCUAGAUAAUGGAUAUGAGUGCCUAUUAGCAGAAGAAGAAAACACAUUGUUAACAUCCAGCUGCGGCCAAUUUUUAUGAGUCAUCAAACUCUUUGGAAGACUCAGGAGCUCAACACAAACACAGGCAGUUGAUUAAUUGUUCGAGUAGUUGCACAUACUCAUAAUGUACACUCCAUAUGUUGGCCUGAAUCUGCCUGUGACAAGCUGACAGACUGACUGCACUUAGACGUUUUGGGCUACUGUAAGGUUGGUGGUUGGAGAAGAGUGGAAUACAUUUUUCACAAGGAAAGUGAACUGUGUUAGGCUCCUCUGGAAUUGCAUAUGAAUGUAUGAAGAUGGUAGAAAAUGAUUAGCUGCUUAAAUGCAGUAUUUUAAAGACACGUUUUUAUGUUCUGGCUUUUAGGACAUGUUGACCUAAACAUUUUGGUUUUAACAGCCUUAGCUGAGUUGUUUUAGUUGUUUUUAUUGACUUUUUUUUUUCCUUCUAUAUUUUUCUGCAUCAUUGUUGUGCAUUUUAUUUAUGUUAGUGGGAUUUUACAUUGUUAAUCACUUUGUGCAGCAUGGACUGUUGGAAAUGUGCUAUCUAAAUAAACUUGACCUUGACCAAACUUGACCUUAAUGCACAAUAAUCUCAUUUUUCAUUGCUAAUUGCACCUUUUUUAUUUAAUCUUCAUGACAGAUGCCAAGGAGUGACACAUUAAAAGAACAGUCUUGAUAAAUUAGUAAUGUACUGCAUGGUACAGUUAAUUAGCUACUAUUUUAUCAUUGUCUGUGGGAUAAAGGCAGGUUGACUGCGAUUAAGACUGUGUCAACCAAAUAUCCACGCUGCUUUGAAGAAAGGCUCAUUGCUGCAGAAUUAUUUAAGACUGCUCAGCUGGCUCAUGCAUUUGCAUCCAAAGGAGGACACAUUGAGCACUUGUGAACACUGUAAGUUUUAUAUUUAGGACUUUAUAUAUGUAUUUUAACAUUUACUGCAAGCUUUUAUGUAAAAAAAAAUACAAACAUAGCCUUUUUGAAAUCAGAUGAUUCUCUUUGAUGAACCCUGUACUUAUACUGUAAAGCAUGGCUGCAUGCAGAACUCUGCAAUGUGUACUCAUGACGGUGAAAAUGAUGGACGGUACAGUGUUUGCUAUCUUGGCCAUAUAAGGGAAAGGGAGCAUCCACCGAACAGUAGCUACCAAGUUAGUAGCAAAUUAUUACAGACAU